This 492-nucleotide ribosomal RNA is filed under the name uncultured bacterium. RNAcentral's name for it is "partial 16S ribosomal RNA". It matches the Rfam family "Bacterial small subunit ribosomal RNA", at positions 29 to 507 of the family's 1533-position model. The record is from RNAcentral.
AGUGAACGCUGGCGGUAGGCCUAACACAUGCAAGUCGAACGGCAGCACAGUAAGAGCUUGCUCUUACGGGUGGCGAGUGGCGGACGGGUGAGGAAUACAUCGGAAUCUACUUUUUCGUGGGGGAUAACGUAGGGAAACUUACGCUAAUACCGCAUACGACCUACGGGUGAAAGCAGGGGAUCUUCGGACCUUUCGCGAUUGAAUGAGCCGAUGUCGGAUUAGCUAGUUGGCGGGGUAAAGGCCCACCAAGGCGACGAUCCGUAGCUGGUCUGAGAGGAUGAUCAGACACACUGGAACUGAGACACGGUACAGAAUACUACGGGAGGCAGCAGUGGGGAAUAUUGGACAAUGGGCGCAAGCAUGAUCCAGCCAUACCGCGUGGGUGAAGAAGGCCUUCGGGUUGUAAAGCCCUUUUGUUGGGAAAGAAAAGCAGCAGGUUAAUACCCCGCUGUUCUGACGGUACCAAAAGAAUAAGCACCGGCUAACUUCGUG